UACAGGGGGUGCAAACGUUGCUCGGAAUUAUUGGGCGUAAAGCGCACGUAGGCGGUUUGUUAUGUCGGAUGUGAAAGCCCUUGGCUCAACUGAGGAAGUGCAUCCGAAACUGGCAAGCUAGAGUAUGUAAGAGGGUCGCGGAAUUCCCGGUGUAGAGGUGAAAUUCGUAGAUAUCGGGAGGAACACCGGUGGCGAAGGCGGCGACCUGGGACAAUACUGACGCUCAUGCACGAAAGCGUGGGGAGCAAACAGG
This 253-nucleotide ribosomal RNA is filed under the name uncultured bacterium. RNAcentral describes it as "partial 16S ribosomal RNA". It matches the Rfam family "Bacterial small subunit ribosomal RNA", at positions 524 to 776 of the family's 1533-position model. The record is from RNAcentral.